This is a long non-coding RNA of Xiphophorus hellerii (green swordtail), 525 nucleotides long. RefSeq lists it as uncharacterized. The transcript has 2 exons. The record is from RefSeq and is a predicted model, not a curated record. Lineage: Eukaryota; Metazoa; Chordata; Actinopteri; Cyprinodontiformes; Poeciliidae.
AUCCAGUAACCAGAGGGCAGGGUCAGAAAACCAGAAAACUCUUUGGAACAUGAGACAAGGCUUGAAAGCUGUGACAGCGGCAACAGACGAUCUCGCACUGAGAUGGUGACGACAGCUGUUUAAAUAGGGAGCAGCUCAGUGCAGCUGAGUGAAGCGUGACGUUGGGUUAAUGAAAGAUGGACUGAUAGGAGUUUCCGCAGCUGCAUCCUGAUGCGUUUCCUUCGCCAUUCUACCUGCAUGCCACACAGUCUGACGCCCAGCUUCGCCGAAGUGGUCUGUUUGCAUUUUUUUAUCUGCCGGGCCGCCUUCUCCUCCGAGGCGUCGUCGCCGUGCUGCCGGGUUCCCAUCUUCAGGUCCAGGAUGCAGGGGAAGGAGAAGGGGUGGACGAUGUUCUCCAGCAGCAGGCCCUCUGGUUGAGACGCCGCAGUUAGGGAAUAAAACCUGGAGGAUUUCAUCGACCGCAGACUGAAUCUGAUCUAGUUUUAAGAAUGUCAGUUGGAAAAAUAUACAAAUAUAUUUGAUUUA